This is a non-coding RNA of Candidatus Kaiserbacteria bacterium, 84 nucleotides long. The record is from Rfam. NCBI's taxonomy places the organism in Bacteria, Candidatus Kaiseribacteriota.
GCGUCGGUGGCAGAGUUGGUCAAUUGCACCUGACUGUAGAUCAGGCGCCUUCGGGCUACGGAGGUUCGAAUCCUCCCCGGCGCA